GAAUUGCGCAUGGGGGAAAGGGGAUCCCUUCUGCCGGAUCUGAAAAGAGGCUUCGUUCCUGUAAAGCUCUGUCAAUCAGGGACGAUAAUGACGGUACCUGAGGAGGAAGCCACGGCUAACUACGUGCCAGCAGCCGCGGUAAUAAA
RNAcentral lists this ribosomal RNA (146 nucleotides) under uncultured bacterium. RNAcentral describes it as "partial 16S ribosomal RNA". The record is from RNAcentral.